GACGAACCGUGCGAACGUUGUUCGGAAUCACUGGGCUUAAAGGGCGCGUAGGCGGCUCCGCCAGUCGGGGGUGAAAUCCCACGGCCUAACCGUGGAAGGGCCUCCGAUACUGCGGGGCUGGAGGGAGGUAGGGGCAGCGGGAACUUCGGGUGGAGCGGUGAAAUGCGUUGAUAUCCGAAGGAACGCCGGUGGCGAAAGCGCGCUGCUGGACCUCUGCUGACGCUGAGGCGCGAAAGCCAGGGGAGCAAACGGG
Molecule: ribosomal RNA, 253 nt
Filed under: uncultured bacterium
Lineage: Bacteria
Description: partial 16S ribosomal RNA
Rfam family: Bacterial small subunit ribosomal RNA
Source: RNAcentral